This 460-nucleotide ribosomal RNA is filed under the name uncultured bacterium. Its description in RNAcentral is "partial 16S ribosomal RNA". It matches the Rfam family "Bacterial small subunit ribosomal RNA", at positions 338 to 795 of the family's 1533-position model. The record is from RNAcentral.
CCUACGGGGGACUGCAGUGAGGAAUAUUGGUCAAUGGACGAGAGUCUGAACCAGCCAAGUAGCGUGAAGGAUGACUGCCCUAUGGGUUGUAAACUUCUUUUAUAUGGGAAUAAAAUGUUCCACGUGUGGGAUUUUGUAUGUACCAUAUGAAUAAGGAUCGGCUAACUCCGUGCCAGCAGCCGCGGUAAUACGGAGGAUCCGAGCGUUAUCCGGAUUUAUUGGGUUUAAAGGGAGCGUAGGUGGAUUGUUAAGUCAGUUGUGAAAGUUUGCGGCUCAACCGUAAAAUUGCAGUUGAAACUGGCAGUCUUGAGUACAGUAGAGGUGGGCGGAAUGCGUGGUGUAGCGGUGAAAUGCUUAGAUAUCACGAAGAACUCCGAUUGCGAAGGCAGUUCACUGGACUGCAACUGACACUGAGGCUCGAAAGUGUGGGUAUCAAACAGGAUUAGAUACCCGGGUAGUC